RNAcentral lists this ribosomal RNA (1404 nucleotides) under uncultured bacterium. RNAcentral's name for it is "bacterial SSU rRNA". It matches the Rfam family "Bacterial small subunit ribosomal RNA". The record is from RNAcentral.
UAGAGUUUGAUCCUGGCUCAGAACGAACGUUGGCGGCGUGGAUUAGGCAUGCAAGUCGAACGAGAACCUUCGGGCAACUGAAGGGGAAAGUGGCGAAAGGGGCAGUAAGGUAUGGGUAACCUACCCCGGGGAUUGGGAUAGCCUUCCUAACGGAUGGGUAAUACCAGGCGAUCUGGCGAGGGGGCAUCUCCUUGCCAGGAAAUGAAUUUCGUCUCGGGAGGGGCUCAUAUAGUAUUAGCUUGUUGGUGGGGUAACGGCCUACCAAGGCAAAGAUGCUUAGCGGGUGUGAGAGCACGACCCGCGCCACUGGCACUGAGACACUGGCCAGACUCCUACGGGAGGCUGCAGUCGAGGAUCUUCGGCAAUGGGCGCAAGCCUGACCGAGCGACGCCGCGUGUGCGAUGAAGGCCUUCGGGUUGUAAAGCACUGUCGAGGGGGAGGAAAGCCGCAAGGUUUGACCUAUCCCUUGGGAGGAAGCACGGGCUAAGUUCGUGCCAGCAGCCGCGGUAAGACGAACCGUGCGAACGUUGUUCGGAAUCACUGGGCUUAAAGGGCGCGUAGGCGGUUGAUCAAGUCUGGGGUGAAAUCUUUCGGCUUAACCGGAAAAGUGCCUUGGAUACUGGUCAGCUGGAGGGAGGUAGGGGCAGUUGGAACUUCCAGUGGGAGCGGUGAAAUGCGUUGAUAUUGGAAGGAACGCCGGUGGCGAAAGCGAGCUGCUGGACCUCUUCUGACGCUGAGGCGCGAAAGCUAGGGGAGCAAACGGGAUUAGAUACCCCGGUAGUCCUAGCCCUAAACGUUGGGUACUAGGUAGUGGACUUAACAUGGGUUCACUGCCGAAGCAAAAGUGUUAAGUACCCCGCCUGGGGAGUACGGCCGCAAGGCUAAAACUCAAAGGAAUUGACGGGGGCCCGCACAAGCGGCGGAGCAUGUGGAUUAAUUCGAUGCAACGCGAAGAACCUUACCUGGGUUUGACAUGCGCAGGACGCCAGUAGAGAUAUUGGUUCCCUUGUGGCCUGUGUGCAGGUGGUGCAUGGCUGUCGUCAGCUCGUGUCGUGAGAUGUUGGGUUAAGUCCCGCAACGAGCGCAACCCUUGUCUCAUGUUGCCAGCGCGUUAUGGCGGGGACUCGUGAGAGACUGCCGGGGUCAACUCGGAGGAAGGUGGGGAUGACGUCAAGUCAUCAUGCCCCUUAUGUCCAGGGCUUCACACAUGCUACAAUGGCCGGUACAAAGGGCCGCGAUGCCGUGAGGUUAAGCGAAUCCUUUAAAGCCGGUCUCAGUUCGGAUCGGGGUCUGCAACUCGACCCCGUGAAGUCGGAGUCGCUAGUAAUCGCAGAUCAGCAACGCUGCGGUGAAUACGUUCCCGGGCCUUGUACACACCGCCCGUCACGCCAUGAAAGUCGGUAA